Molecule: transfer RNA, 72 nt
Filed under: Camelus bactrianus (Bactrian camel)
Lineage: Eukaryota; Metazoa; Chordata; Mammalia; Artiodactyla; Camelidae
Also listed under: 1 other name
Rfam family: tRNA
About the family: Transfer RNA (tRNA) molecules are approximately 80 nucleotides in length.
Source: Rfam by way of RNAcentral
GAGGGUAUAACUCAGUGGUAGAGUACAUGCUUGGCAUGCAUGAGGUCCUGGGUUCAAUCCCCAGUACCUCCA